AUUGAACGCUGGCGGCAUGCCUUACACAUGCAAGUCGAACGGCAGCACGGGGGCAACCCUGGUGGCGAGUGGCGAACGGGUGAGUAAUGCAUCGGAACGUGCCAUUGAGUGGGGGAUAACGUAGCGAAAGUUGCGCUAAUACCGCAUAUUCUGUGAGCAGGAAAGCAGGGGACCGCAAGGCCUUGCGCUAUUUGAGCGGCCGAUGUCAGAUUAGCUAGUUGGUGAGGUAACGGCUUACCAAGGCGACGAUCCGUAGCUGGUCUGAGAGGACGACCAGCCACACUGGAACUGAGACACGGUCCAGACUCCUACGGGAGGCAGCAGUGGGGAAUUUUGGACAAUGGGCGCAAGCCUGAUCCAGCCAUGCCGCGUGAGUGAAGAAGGCCU
Molecule: ribosomal RNA, 387 nt
Filed under: uncultured bacterium
Lineage: Bacteria
Description: bacterial SSU rRNA
Rfam family: Bacterial small subunit ribosomal RNA
Source: RNAcentral